RNAcentral lists this ribosomal RNA (514 nucleotides) under Cryptosporidium hominis. Its description in RNAcentral is "partial small subunit ribosomal RNA". It matches the Rfam family "Eukaryotic small subunit ribosomal RNA", at positions 548 to 1090 of the family's 1831-position model. Lineage: Eukaryota; Apicomplexa; Conoidasida; Eucoccidiorida; Cryptosporidiidae. The record is from RNAcentral.
UUGGAGGGCAAGUCUGGUGCCAGCAGCCGCGGUAAUUCCAGCUCCAAUAGCGUAUAUUAAAGUUGUUGCAGUUAAAAAGCUCGUAGUUGGAUUUCUGUUAAUAAUUUAUAUAAAAUAUUUUGAUGAAUAUUUAUAUAAUAUUAACAUAAUUCAUAUUACUAUUUUUUUUUUUAGUAUAUGAAAUUUUACUUUGAGAAAAUUAGAGUGCUUAAAGCAGGCAUAUGCCUUGAAUACUCCAGCAUGGAAUAAUAUUAAAGAUUUUUAUCUUUUUUAUUGGUUCUAAGAUAAGAAUAAUGAUUAAUAGGGACAGUUGGGGGCAUUUGUAUUUAACAGUCAGAGGUGAAAUUCUUAGAUUUGUUAAAGACAAACUAAUGCGAAAGCAUUUGCCAAGGAUGUUUUCAUUAAUCAAGAACGAAAGUUAGGGGAUCGAAGACGAUCAGAUACCGUCGUAGUCUUAACCAUAAACUAUGCCAACUAGAGAUUGGAGGUUGUUCCUUACUCCUUCAGCACCUUA